Molecule: ribosomal RNA, 497 nt
Filed under: uncultured bacterium
Lineage: Bacteria
Description: partial 16S ribosomal RNA
Rfam family: Bacterial small subunit ribosomal RNA
Source: RNAcentral
GAUGAACGCUGGCGGCGUGCCUAAUACAUGCAAGUCGAGCGAACAGAUAAGGAGCUUGCUCCUUUGACGUUAGCGGCGGACGGGUGAGUAACACGUGGGUAACCUACCUAUAAGACUGGGAUAACUUCGGGAAACCGGGGCUAAUACCGGAUAACAUUUGGAACCGCAUGGUUCUAAAGUGAAAGAUGGUUUUGCUAUCACUUAUAGAUGGACCCGCGCCGUAUUAGCUAGUUGGUAAGGUAACGGCUUACCAAGGCAACGAUACGUAGCCGACCUGAGAGGGUGAUCGGCCACACUGGAACUGGGCCACGGUCCAGACUCCUACGGGAGGCAGCAGUAGGGAAUCUUCCGCAAUGGGCGAAAGCCUGACGGAGCAACGCCGCGUGAGUGAUGAAGGGUUUCGGCUCGUAAAACUCUGUUAUUAGGGAAGAACAAACGUGUAAGUAACUGUGCACGUCUUGACGGUACCUAAUCAGAAAGCCACGGCUAACUACGUG